AGCGUCAAAAGGGCGUCUGGUGGAUGCCUUGGUGGUAAGAGGCGAUGAAGGACGUGGCACGCUGCGUUAAGUUCCGGGGAGUUGCGAGCAGACUUUGAUCCGGAAAUUUCCGAAUGGGGGAACCCACCUUUACAGACCCUGGCGGUUGUUCGUCUGAGUGAUCAGGCGGCCAAUCACCAGUGUUUGUGAAAGGUAUCUUAUUCUGAAUACAUAGGAAUAAGAAGCGAACUCGGGGAACUGAAACAUCUAAGUACCCGAAGGAAAGGACAUCAAUUGAGACUUCCCUAGUAGCGGCGAGCGAACGGGAACCAGGCCAGUGUCUCUUCUUGAGUCAGCGGAACGAUCUGGAAAGUUCGGCCAUAGCGGGUGAUAGCCCCGUACGUUAAAGCGAUUGAAGAGACCUUGAGUAGGGCGGGACACGUGAAAUCCUGUCUGAACAUGGGGGGACCACCCUCCAAGCCUAAGUACUCCUUACCAACCGAUAGUGAACCAGUACCGUGAGGGAAAGGUGAAAAGCACCCCGACGAGGGGAGUGAAACAGAUCCUGAAACCGGACGCCUACAAGCAGUCGGAGCCGCCUUGCGCGGUGACGGCGUACCUUUUGUAUAAUGGGUCAGCGACUUUGUCUCUCGAGCAAGCUUAAGCCGGUAGGUGUAGGCGCAGCGAAAGCGAGUCUGAAUAGGGCGACGAGUUCGAGGGAUAAGACCCGAAACCGAGUGAUCUAGCCAUGUGCAGGUUGAAGGUGCGGUAACACGCACUGGAGGACCGAACCCACGUCUGUUGAAAAAGACGGGGAUGACGUGUGGCUAGGGGUGAAAGGCCAAUCAAACUCGGAGAUAGCUGGUUCUCCGCGAAAUCUAUUUAGGUAGAGCGUCGGAUGAAUACUCUCGGGGGUAGAGCACUGGAUGGGCUAUGGGGGCUUACCGCCUUACUGAUCCUAACCAAACUCCGAAUACCGAGAAGUACUAUCCGGCAGACACACAGUGGGUGCUAACGUCCAUUGUGGAGAGGGAAACAACCCUGACCGCCAGUUAAGGUCCCUAAGUUAUGGCUAAGUGGGAAAGGAUGUAGAACUCCCAAAACAACCAGGAUGUUGGCUUAGAAGCAGCCAUCAUUUAAAGAAAGCGUAACAGCUCACUGGUCUAAAUAAGGGGUUCCGCGCCGAAAAUGUACCGGGGCUCAAGCCAUACACCGAAACUGCGGGUGCACACUUUGUGUGCGCGGUAGCGGAGCGUUCUGUAAGUCUGCGAAGGGGGACCCGUGAGGGCUCCUGGAGAUAUCAGAAGUGCGAAUGCUGACAUGAGUAACGAUAAAGGGAGUGAGAGACUCCCUCGCCGAAAGUCCAAGGGUUCCUGCUCAACGCUAAUCGGAGCAGGGUUAGUCGGCCCCUAAGGCGAGGCCGAAAGGCGUAGUCGAUGGGAAACAGGUUAAUAUUCCUGUACUUGGUGGUAGUGACGGAUGCCGUGUGUUGUACUUGCUUAUUGGAUUGCAGGUGCAGCGAAGGUGUUCCAGGAAAUAGCUCCACCGUAUAAACCGUACCCGAAACCGACACAGGUGGACUGGUAGAGAAUACCAAGGCGCUUGAGAGAACUAUGCUGAAGGAACUCGGCAAAAUGCUCCCGUAAGUUCGCGAGAAGGGAGACCUGUGCUUGGGCAACCAGGUAUAGGUGGCACAGAAAUGGGGGUGGCGACUGUUUAUCAAAAACACAGGGCUCUGCGAAGUCGCAAGACGACGUAUAGGGUCUGACGCCUGCCCGGUGCCGGAAGGUUAAAAGGAGGGGUGAGAGCUCCGAAUUGAAGCCCCGGUAAACGGCGGCCGUAACUAUAACGGUCCUAAGGUAGCGAAAUUCCUUGUCGGGUAAUUUCCGACCCGCACGAAUGGUGUAACGACUCCUACACUGUCUCAACGAGGGACUCGGCGAAAUUGUAGUCGUGGUGAAGAUGCCACGUUCCCGCAUCAAGACGGAAAGACCCCGUGAACCUUCACUGCAGCCUAUUACUGGCUCUCGCCAUGGAAUGUGUAGGAUAGGUGGGAGACGUUAUGCCGUGGUCGCCAGAUCACGGAUAGUCACUGGUGAAAUACCACUCUUUUCAUGGUUGGAUUCUAACCCGGGACCGUUAUCCGGCCCGGGGACAGUGGUAGGUGGGCAGUUUGACUGGGGCGGUCUCCUCCGAAAGCGUAACGGAGGAGUGCAAAGGUACCCUCAGUGCGGUCGGUAAUCGCACGUAGAGCGUAAAGGUAUAAGGGUGCUUAACUGCGAGACAAAUAGGUCGAGCAGGUGCGAAAGCAGGUCUUAGUGAUCCGGUGGUCCCGUGUGGAAGGGCCAUCGCUCAUCAGAUAAAAGGUACUCCGGGGAUAACAGGCUGAUCUCCCCCAAGAGUCCAUAUCGACGG
RNAcentral lists this ribosomal RNA (2394 nucleotides) under uncultured Dinobryon. Its description in RNAcentral is "partial Bacterial large subunit ribosomal RNA". It matches the Rfam family "Bacterial large subunit ribosomal RNA", at positions 1 to 2511 of the family's 2925-position model. The record is from RNAcentral. Lineage: Eukaryota; Chrysophyceae; Chromulinales.